UAAUACGAAGGGAGCUAGCGUUGUUCGGAAUCACUGGGCGUAAAGCGCACGUAGGCGGGUUUGUCAGUCAGGGGUGAAAUCCCGGGGCUCAACCUCGGAACUGCCCUUGAUACAGCAAGCCUUAGAGUCCGGAAGAGGUGGGUGGAAUUCCUAGUGUAGAGGUGAAAUUCGUAGAUAUUAGGAAGAACACCGGUGGCGAAGGCGGCCCACUGGUCCGGCACUGACGCUGAGGUGCGAAAGCGUGGGGAGCAAACAG
Molecule: ribosomal RNA, 256 nt
Filed under: uncultured prokaryote
Description: partial 16S ribosomal RNA
Rfam family: Bacterial small subunit ribosomal RNA
Source: RNAcentral